UUCAACAUAAACCAACAUAUUCACCGCCUUAUCCCUGCUAUCCAAGUCUUUACCCUGUCUACAAUACCAAUAUCUCCCACCCCCGACCUCGCCUAAAUUACGCCAAAUCGCCCACAAUCCCUUUUCCAAUAUCUCAACCAAAUCUUCAACAAACUCGUCCUCGACUUCCUUACAACCAGAGAUUUUCCCCACCAAACGGACCCACCUAUAACUAUCCCCAACCCACUGAAACCUACAAUCAAAGCCGUACCCGAACCUUCACCAACCUAGGCAGGCCUUUGGACCGAGUGUAUGAGCAGUUAAGGAAUGCGGUAAAAUAGGUGUGAUUCCCCCUCCAACUUACCUUUAUGGCAUGCCUGCCGGAUACAAUCCACAGUCCACUUGUGCCUAUCAUUCGGGAGCACCUGGCCACUCAACCGCUGAUUGUAAAGCCCUUAAGCACAAAGUCCAAGACAUGAUCGAGGCAGGGGAAAUAGUACUAAGGAAAAAGGGUGAACAAAGACCGAGCAUAAGUACAAAUCCUUUUCCUGAACACAAAGACACCUUUGAGGCAUCCACCUCCAAUGAAGAAAUUUGAAAAUCUUGAAGGAGUUUUGCACAAUUGGACUGCCGAGUGUCUUCCCUCUCGAAGGGAAUUUCGAUAAAAUUUGGGGGUUGUCAUUUGCUAAAAUUCAUAAAAAUUGUCACUGGUUUUGUGUAAAUAGUUUUGGUUAAAACAAUUUUCGCAUUAUCAAGCUCCUGUGUUGCUUUUUGAAUUUUUCAACGGAGUGCAUAGUUACAUCUUUUCAUUAUUCUUGUU
Molecule: long non-coding RNA, 799 nt
Filed under: Coffea arabica (coffee)
Lineage: Eukaryota; Viridiplantae; Streptophyta; Magnoliopsida; Gentianales; Rubiaceae
Description: long non-coding RNA (CARA_LNC005878)
Source: RNAcentral